Molecule: ribosomal RNA, 243 nt
Filed under: uncultured bacterium
Lineage: Bacteria
Description: partial small subunit ribosomal RNA
Rfam family: Bacterial small subunit ribosomal RNA
Source: RNAcentral
AGAAUCAACGCUGGCGGCGUGCCUAACACAUGCAAGUCGCACGAGAAAGGGGAGCAAUCCCUGAGUACAGUGGCGCACGGGUGAGUAACACGUGAAUUAUCUACCUCCGAGUGGGGAAUAACCAAAGAAAUUUUGGCUAAUACCGCAUAACACUUACGAGUCAAAGCAGCAAUGCGCUUGGAGAGGAGUUCGCGGCAGAUUAGCUAGUUGGCGGGGUAUGGCCCACCAAGGCGAUGAUCUGUA